GGCGGUUUAGUGUAGUGGCCUAGCACGCAACUCUCUCACGGUUGAGACUCGGGUUCGAUUCCCGGAUCCGCUA
RNAcentral lists this transfer RNA (73 nucleotides) under Bacteroides luti. It matches the Rfam family "tRNA". From Rfam's summary of the family: Transfer RNA (tRNA) molecules are approximately 80 nucleotides in length. The record is from Rfam by way of RNAcentral. Lineage: Bacteria; Pseudomonadati; Bacteroidota; Bacteroidia; Bacteroidales; Bacteroidaceae.